AUUCAGUUGAUGAGUCCUAAAUAGGACGAAACACGUGUUUUCGAU
Molecule: non-coding RNA, 45 nt
Filed under: Schistosoma margrebowiei
Lineage: Eukaryota; Metazoa; Platyhelminthes; Trematoda; Strigeidida; Schistosomatidae
Source: RNAcentral